CUGAACGCCUCUAAGUCAGAAUCCAUGCCAGAACGCGGUGAUUUUUUCCCACACAUCGUAGUCGGAUACGAAUAGGCCUAUGGCCCUGAAUCUUAGCUGGUUGGCAACGGUCGUGCGGUGAAAGUCCGUACGGCUAGCUGACGUCUUGCAAUUUUACCAUGCGUGGGGUUAAAAACUUUGCAUACGACUUAGACAUAUCACCCGGUGCUGUAAAUAGUAGAGUAGUCUUGUUAUUACGAUCUAUUGAGGCUAAGCCGUGGCGAUUUAUUUUUGAGAGUAAUCUCCCUAAAGACAUGCCUGAUUCAGGCGGUCUUAAGGGGGGGGGUGCGCGACAGGAGGGGAUUGUUGGCUGAGGGGCAGUGAUCUGAGGGUAGGUCAGGUGUGUGAGAACAGGGACUUGAGAGGUCUCUACUGCGAGACAAAGGACCGGCAUAAAAAUGACUUCGCCGCUCGGGGGUGUUACAGUGGGCGAACCACUGGAGGGGGACGCGGAGUUAGGGUUGUACUACAGGGGACAGCUACAGUGGACCGCCCACUGAAGGAGGUCCCGGUAGGGGCCACACUGGACCUACCUUUGGAUCUGCCUUGGGGGGCUACUACAGUGGGUGCUACAGUGGGCAGUCCACUGAAGCAGGUGCCUGUAGGAGGCGGGGUCACAAUCGACCUACCCUCGGAUUAAAAUGACUUGGGGGAAAAAACCUGGCCGCACACCUUGCCUACCCUCGGAUCCGUCCUAGGGACUGGCUAUAGUGGGCGUUACAGUGGACGACUCACUGAAGGGGGGGCCUGGGGAAAGUCGUAGUGGACAGCUACAGUGGACCACUCACUAGAGGAGGUGCCUGUAGCAGGCUGGGUCACGGUCGACCUACCCUGUGAUCCAUCCUAGGAGAUCGCUAGGGGGCGGGGCCACAAUUGACCUACCCUCGGAUCGAAUUGACUUGGACAAAAAACCUGGGCUCACAUUUCGCCUACCCUCAGAUCUGCUCCAGGGGGCAGCUUCAGUGGGCGUUACAGUGGACGUCCCACUGAACAGGGACGCGGGAGAAAUUUUCAGGGGGCGGCUACAGUGGACUACCCACUGAAGCAGGUCCGUAGAGGUCAGGGUCACACUUGGCCUACCCUGUGAUCCGUCCUAGGGGGGUGCUAUAGUGAGGGGUCCACUGAAGGGGGAGCCUAAGGAAAGUUACAGUGGACAGCUACAGUGGACUACUCACUGAAGGAGGUCCCUGUAAAGACUUGGGCUCACAUUUGACCUACCCUGUGAUCCAUCCCAGGGGUAAGCUUCAGUGGGCGUUACAGUGAGGGGUCCACUAAACGGGGGCGCUGUAGAAAGUUACAGGGGACAGCUUACUGAAGGGGGUGCCUGGAAAAACUUGGUCGCACAUUUGACCUACCCUCGGAUCCUUCUUAGAGGGCAGCUCCAGGGGGUCCUACAGUGAUCUAACCACUGAAGGGAGGCGCCAUAAAGAAUUCCAGUGGACAGCUACAGUGGACCUCCCACUGAAGCAGGUGCCGAUAAAGGCUCGGGUCACACCUGGCCUACCCUCAGAUCCGGGCUAGGGGACCGCUACAGUGGACCAUCCACUGAAGGGAGGCGCUGUAAAAGAUUCUAGGGGACAGCUACAGUGGACGACUCACUGUAGGAGGUACCUGUAGGGGGCGGGGUCACAGUUGGCCUACCCGGUGAUCCAUCCUAGGGGACGGCUACAGCGGGCGUUACAGUGGACGUCCCACUGAACAGGGACGCGGGAGAAAUUUUCAGGGGGCGGCUACAGUGGACUACCCACUGAAGGGACUGCCUGUAGAAAGUGGGGUCACACUUGGCCUACCCUUGGAUCCACCCUAGGGAGGUGCUUCAGUGGGCGCUACAGUGGAUGGUCCUCUGGGCGAGGGCGCUAUAAAAGAUUUUAGUAGACGACUAUAGUAGACCGCCCACUGUAGCAGGUGCCUGUGGGAGGUGAGGUUCACACUUGACCUACCCUCGGAUCUCCUCCUGGAGAGAAAUUCUUCUAAGGUCGUCGAUCCGCGGAUUUGCACCAAACGUUUUGGUGAGGGGGGGGGGGGGGUCUCAAACUUUUUGCACACAAAACGUUUUUCGGAACCCCCAAAUCCUGCCAGAGGCAUUUGCACACAGAUUUUAAGGCCAAAGGAAGUCGGUGGGUAUAUAAGGGGAGGUGUCCUGAGUGGGUCGGGGGGCCUAAGGGAGAUGGUGCUGGGUGAUUCUAGCGUGUCCCUCGGGGUGAUAGGUCGGUGUCCAGUGGUCAUAGGUCGGGGACUGAUUCUUAGAGGUUUUGGGGGUACCUAGGCAUGGAGGCCCCCGCUAUCGGGCGUGGGUUGUAGGCUAUCUGUCCGCUAGGGGUCCGCUGGGGGCGGCUGCGAGGGGGUGCGAGGGGCUAGGGGCUAGGACUUCAGGGGGGCUCGUGGCUAGCUGGGGCCACGGAUCGUGAUACGUGCAGGCCUAUCGAGGGGCUCGUGGGGAGCUGGGGGAACCCCUUUCCCGGGGCUGGCCUUCUCUGAGGGCCAAGCGCGGGGGGGGGACGAGGGCCAGGCCGCCCUUGCCGUCACGGCAGAAGGCCCGCGGAGGGGCAGGGCCUCUGGGAGAGGGGAGAGGGGAUCGCCGGGUAGGCCAGGUGUGCGGGGCGGCGGCCUCGGACGGAUUUUUCCUCCCCCUUUUCUCCUUGUUCCUGUUUGCCCUCUGCACGGCAGCGUCACCGGGGCUUUCCAGGCACUUUCGGCGGGCUCGGGCGCUGGGGUUAGGCUCUGGAGGCCCUUGGGGUUAGCGCUGGGGGCGUUGGGGUUAGGGUUAUGGCGGGGAGGAUCGCAGGGUAGGUCAAGUGUGUAGGGUUAGGCUACAGGGGACUUGACGCUGUAGAGCCUGUAAGUUAUAGGGGGGGAGCCCUAUAAGACGCUGUAACUUCCAGGGGCGGUAGGGCAGGUAGGAUCCGAGGGUAGGCCCGGUGUGAUCCAAGGGUAGGUGAGGUGUGAUCCAAGGGUAGAUGGGAUGUGGAUGCGAGGGUAGGCGAGGUGUGAGAGGGGGACUUGGGGAAAGCUCCAGGCUGUAGAAGCCUAGGUGGGCACCCCUAGGGGGGUCCUUACAGCGAUGUGAGGCCCUGGAACCCCCCUGGGGCGGUCGCUGGAGAAGUGAGAGGGGAUCCAAGGGUAGGUCAGGUGUGUGGGGGGUGGAGAGUGAUUCCGAGGGUAGGUCAAGUGUGAGGAGAUGAUCUUAUCCUCUUCCCGACCCCCUUUCGACACGUUCCCAUGCCCUCCCGACCAUAUCAAGGGCGCUGAUUCCAACGCCGUUGCCCGCUUGUCCGUAGGGGCUCGGGUUCGCCCGCAACCCGACCUCGCCCUAGGGCAGUGAGACCUACAGCGUUCGAUAGCCCUGCUGACUUCCGUUAGGGUCACUCUUCAGGCUUCGAUACGCUGGAGGAGACCCCUAUCAACUUGGUCGGGGGACUUUACAGAGGGACCCCCCCCCCCUCCGAUUUUUUUUUUUUGGAUCUUGCAAAAUGGUCAGGACCUCUAUUCAAGUUGCACCUAUUUCUCCUCAACUGAAAGUAACUUUUCCAGUCCGGCAGAUAUUUGAGGGUAGCGACCGCAGAAAAGGUGCUUCCCGGCUCGGGGAAUCUAACGCCGCAGCCCGUUUGGCCGUAGCUGGGAGGGAGCCCGAGAUAUUGAAUUUAUCGGCAAAGUAUUUGGGACCCCCCCCCCCUCUCAAACUUUUCCCCGGCGGCUCUGGGACCGGUCCCCGUGCCCCCCCGACUAUAUCGAGGGCGCUGAUUCCAACGCCGUUGCCCGCUUGUCCGUAGGGGCUUGGGUUCGCCCGGAACCCGACCUCGUCCCUAGGCAGUGGGACCUACAGCGGUCGACAGCCCUGCCGAUUUCCGCUAGGGUCACUCUUCAGGGUACCCCCCUCACUGGAGUCGACCGCCGGAAAAAAAACUACAGGGUGCGAGUGCCCUGGAAGGGGGGAGGUGCGGCGGUGCGGGUGCGGAUCGCGAAUUUUUCUAAGGUCGUCGAUCCGCGGAUUUGCACCAAACUUUUUGGUGAGGGGGGGGGGGGUUUCAAAUCUUUUGCACACAAAACGUUUUUCGGAACACCCAAAUUUUGGCAAAAUCAUUUGCACACAAAUUUUAAGGCCAAAGGAAGUCGGUGGGUAUAUGAAGGGAGCAGACUGGAGUCAAAUCGAAUAAAUCUCACAGUGGGUUACGGCGGUCUAACAACUAACGUGACACACUGGGAGUACCUUUAAUUAGGUACGGUGACCACUGCGAAGGUUCUGUCUCCUUUUUGCGGGCUAUUACUUCAGUGAUACUUACGCUACAACAUGCCUAGCAUGGGCGCCUUAACCAGGUCGAAGUCGCUAUUUGCUUGAUUUCCCUGGGGCGCGCGGUAACCAACCCGUUGUACCAUAUUUGCCAGACUCCAUCUAUUUCCGGUUAGCACUCAGGCAGCGUGGGGGCCCAGACCUAGCCGGCAAAGUGGAGUCGCCUGUGGAAGCAGUCACCUGUCACGUAAAACUCUCAGGCCUGUGGAAGCGCCAAACGUCGCAUCGGCCUCGGUCGGUGCGCGCGGUUGGGGUCUGUGGAUUAAUGGCCGAUGGCCUAUCCUAAUUCUUAAGACACACUCGGGGGUAAGCCUGAGCAGGUAGCCGUCCCCGGACGUGACCUGCGAACGGUAUCCUCCUCCUGCGGGACACAUGUUACACGCUGCGACGGUGCCUGGCACUCGAGCUUUAGUGUAGCGGACUGCCCUGUGGGGAACUCAGUGGGGGCAAUUGGAUGGCGCGCGAGCCCUGUGAGCCUUGCUCCGGGGUGCUGCGCGCUGCGGUGUAAACCGCCUUCUCAGUGCAACAACUCUGCCUCCUUCGGGGGGUCGCGUUCGGCUCCGGUCGUCCGCUCAAGAUAGUUACCUGGUUGAUUCUGCCAGUAGUCAUAUGCUUGUCUC
Molecule: unclassified non-coding RNA, 4947 nt
Filed under: Hymenella cerealis
Lineage: Eukaryota; Fungi; Ascomycota
Description: Cephalosporium gramineum partial contains 28S ribosomal RNA, 28S-18S ribosomal RNA intergenic spacer, and 18S ribosomal RNA
Rfam family: Eukaryotic large subunit ribosomal RNA (bases 1-274)
Source: RNAcentral